AGUGAACGCUGGCGGCGUGCUUAACACAUGCAAGUCGAACGAGAACGGAAUAUAGCUUGCUAUAUUUGUCAACUAAGUGGCGCACGGGUGAGUAAUGUAUAGAUAACCUGCCCUUAAGAAAGGAAUAACAGUUGGAAACGACUGCUAAUGCCCUAUAUGCCUUUAAUACAUAAGUAUGCAAGGGAAACGCUUUAGUGCUUAAGGAUGGGUCUGUAUGGUAUCAGCUUGUUGGUGAGGUAAUGGCUCACCAAGGCUAUGACGCCUAACUGGUUUGAGAGGAAGAUCAGUAACAAUGGAACUGGGACACGGGUCCAGAUCCUACGGGGGGGAGCAGUGGGGAAUAUUGCACCAUAGACGGAAGUCUGAUGCCGCAACGCCGCGUGGAGGAUGACACAUUUCGGUGCGUAAACUCCUUUUAUAUAGGAAGAUAAUGACGGUACUAUAUGAAUAAGCACCGGCUAACUCCGUGCCAGCCGCCGCAGUAA
RNAcentral lists this ribosomal RNA (485 nucleotides) under uncultured bacterium. Its description in RNAcentral is "partial 16S ribosomal RNA". It matches the Rfam family "Bacterial small subunit ribosomal RNA", at positions 29 to 523 of the family's 1533-position model. The record is from RNAcentral.